UGCCCCAUGGCUGAGUUGGUUACAGCGUCCGACUGUUAUGAAUGAAGCAUCCGGUACAUCUAACAUCGGAAGGUCGUGAGUUCGAGCCUCACUGGGGCAG
Molecule: non-coding RNA, 100 nt
Organism: Paramarasmius palmivorus
Lineage: Eukaryota; Fungi; Basidiomycota; Agaricomycetes; Agaricales; Marasmiaceae
Source: the annotation of a GenBank genome assembly